RNAcentral lists this ribosomal RNA (464 nucleotides) under Salmonella enterica subsp. enterica. Its description in RNAcentral is "partial 23S ribosomal RNA". It matches the Rfam family "Bacterial large subunit ribosomal RNA", at positions 1 to 495 of the family's 2925-position model. The record is from RNAcentral. Lineage: Bacteria; Pseudomonadati; Pseudomonadota; Gammaproteobacteria; Enterobacterales; Enterobacteriaceae.
GGGUUGUGAGGUUAAGCGACUAAGCGUACACGGUGGAUGCCCUGGCAGUCAGAGGCGAUGAAGGACGUGCUAAUCUGCGAUAAGCGCCGGUAAGGUGAUAUGAACCGUUAUAACCGGCGAUUUCCGAAUGGGGAAACCCAGUGUGAUUCGUCACACUAUCAUUAACUGAAUCCAUAGGUUAAUGAGGCGAACCGGGGGAACUGAAACAUCUAAGUACCCCGAGGAAAAGAAAUCAACCGAGAUUCCCCCAGUAGCGGCGAGCGAACGGGGAGGAGCCCAGAGCCUGAAUCAGCAUGUGUGUUAGUGGAAGCGUCUGGAAAGGCGCGCGAUACAGGGUGACAGCCCCGUACACAAAAGCGCAUGUGCUGUGAGCUCGAUGAGUAGGGCGGGACACGUGGUAUCCUGUCUGAAUAUGGGGGGACCAUCCUCCAAGGCUAAAUACUCCUGACUGACCGAUAGUGAAC